ACUUUUAAAGGAUAAAAGUAAUCCACUGGUCUUAGGAACCAAAAACCUUGGUGCAACUCCAAG
Molecule: transfer RNA, 63 nt
Filed under: Sceloporus occidentalis
Lineage: Eukaryota; Metazoa; Chordata; Lepidosauria; Squamata; Phrynosomatidae
Description: tRNA-Leu
Rfam family: tRNA
About the family: Transfer RNA (tRNA) molecules are approximately 80 nucleotides in length. Their secondary structure includes four short double-helical elements and three loops (D, anti-codon, and T loops).
Source: RNAcentral